ACGCACACCAUGCCUUGACCUAUUCGUUGCCAGUCGUGCGAGAUCCAAUCCGCCAAUCGGCGCGCCACCAUGGACAAAGAAAAGCAGUAUGUCGCCGUGAGUGAAACCAUGUCCAUCCUUUGAUUUGGCCUAGCGAAUCAGACCGAUGGUGAAGCACAAGGAGCGGGGGAGGUGUGUGUGGGGAUUCCUAACCGUGGGGAGGCCCAAAUCAACCACAAUUUCUCGACGGAGCUGGGAAACCGCCGCCGUGCCGCAUGAUGUCGGUAUUGGGCCUCUACGACAUGCGAUUCCUAGGUAUGAAGUCCUUACCGAUUUCCUUAAGCCCCUAGCUGCGUUCAACACGAUUUUGUAUGGAGUUUGGUCCACUGUAGUGUCGAUCCCGUGGUCGCCGGCAUGACCGCCGCCGUGCACUAGGUGCCUGCCGCGUCCGACUGCUUUUGUGGGGAAGAGAAUCUGGUGAGCGUUGGAUCCUUUAUGUAGGGUUGUAGUAUGGGGGUGUGGUUGGUCGUUGGAUCGAGCGCGGGCGCUCCGGAUCAGACGAAUGGUGACCCCUUCGAAUGUUGAAAUCACGACCGUUGAUUACUGAUCCAACACACCUUGUAGCAUAUCCUUUCGGGUUAUAACUGAGUACAUUGGAUCUGGAUCGUGCGGCCGAGAUCUAGGGAUACCCCUUCAGCCGACCCAUCUUACAAAAGAGCCCCUGAUGUUGUUAAUAAAUAACCCGCCAUUCCCCGCAGGAUAAACAUGAGUCUUAGAGAAAGAUAUGAAUUAGCCCCUGGGUUUCUGUUUAUUUCACGCACAACCCAGAGUUUUGGUAAAUUAGGGAAAAGAUUUAUAAAUUGAUUUUUGAAUAUAGAAAUAAUCGCAGAAACUUAUUUAAUUCCUAGAAAAUUCAUAUUAACUCCUUUUUAGUCCAUUCUAGUUCCUAUAAUUUUGUUUUAUUAUUGUUCAUCACUCAGUAACACUGUUUUAGUAUGAAACUCAUAAUAGAAUUUAUCUCAUAAUUAAUCUCGUAUCAAAUGCAUAAAACCUUCGGAAAUUCUUAACUCCUCCGUUUUAAUUCCGAAUUGACUCGUUCUAGUUGUGUUAGCUUCAUAUAAAUAUUUACUACACAAUAACAACAUCAAUUAUACCAUGUCGCAUACUUUUAUAUUUAUUUAUCCUAUGUCUACUAGACUACCUCUUCUAAAUCAAAUUUAACCUGUCCAUAACUAUAAUAUGAUUAAAGCAUGAUCUCUAGUCAAGCUAUGAUUAAAGUUUAAGUUGAAUUAAUUAUUUAUUUAUGGAAUAAUCUAUCAUAUGAUAUAGACUAACCAACUUAUAAUAUAGUUUAAUAUUUAAAUCACAUAGAUCUUCUAUAAAAUCGUAACUCCUUAAUCGUAACUCCGAUCUUACUAGUUCUCGAUCCCAUGAUCUCGUAGCAACGCGUAGAUUACUACUAUGCAGUUUGUUAUUAUGUUUGGUGUGAUGUUAAUUUUGUCUAUACCAUGUUAGCUUGUAUUGCUACGACUAGCAGUGAGGUCACGAGAAUCUAAAGAUCAUCAUGGUACUUGGAAUCUCAAGUCCCAAGCAAGUUGUGCCCUUGAUCACUUUUAUUACCCAACAAUGUUCUCUAUAAUCAUUUUAUCAUGCAUAGGCUUAAUUUUUAUGGGACCCAAUAGGUUGCCCUAGACUGCUUAUCUUUUUACCUUGUUCACCCCUGAAUCAUUUUGGUAGUUUUGCUAUUGCUCUAUGGUUUUGGGUUUAAUAUUAUAUUAUAUCCAUGUUCCAAUUAUUCUGUUAUUAUAUUUAUGUUCAUGUCAAGAUCAUUAUUGUAAUUGGAACAUGGAGCUUAACUUGGAGAAACACGUGCCACUACAAGGGUGGAAUAGGACGCCCUUGGCUGACUAACUAGGAAAGCUAGUGGAAGACUACCUUACCCGAAAGGGGCAAGGGCAGUAGGGGAGUAGGCACGCAGGGAGGUUCUCGAGUUGAUUUUGCUGCGAUGGCGGUCAGACGAGGGAUUUUUGCAAGUGCUCUUCCCAUAAACUGUAGCGGGUUUUUGGAAGCUAGUGGAACUAGGUAAAGGCCUCGUAGUGUUACCCUACCUCGCUUCCUUGGUAGAGGUGUACGGGAUUCAUGACCUCUUGGCAGAUGGGUAACAUGGCUUGUGGGUAAAGGGUACAACCUCUGCAGAGUGUAAAAACUGGUAUACUAGCUGAGCUCACGGUCAUGAGCAGCUCAGGACUCUCGCAAGAUUAAACUAUGGAACUAAAUUCAGUUUGUCAUUUGCAUUGCAUGGGAUUAUUUAUUGAUUUUGUUCUAUUAUUAUUAUAGUUUGGUAUUUACUUACAUCUAGUAAUUGCUAAUAAAAUUUUGACCAACUUUAAAAGCAAUGCUCAACUUUAACCAUUCUCUUUGGUAAGCCUUACACCUCACAUGAGCUCCCACCUUUAGUGAGUUCAUGCACAUUAUUCCCCACAACUUGUUGAGCAUUGAACAUGUGUGACCUCACCCUUGCUGUCUCACACCCCCCAUAGGAGAAGAAUAGGUGGUUCAAGAAGAGCCACACAACGAGGAGUUUGACUUAAUCUAGGUGGCGUCUCCCAGUUGACUUAUUGGCGCCAAGGAUGGAUUUUAGUUUGUUUUAUAUUUAUCUUUCAUUUUGUAAGACUUCUGCUAUAUAAUAAGUACUCUGAUGUUAUUGUGACAUUUAUCUCUAUACACAUCUGUUAUUAUAUGUGUUGUCUUCUUUGGCGCAUAUAUGAGAUGCACCCGGCUUUGUCCCUUAAAUCCGGGUGUGAUAGGCACUCCAGUCCUCAACGUCGCACGUGUGGAGCAGAAGAAAGGGGAAGUUGGGCCGCCAUCCGAAUUCGGCCCAGUACGGCUGAGUUUGAUUUUUCUUUUGAUUCUCGAUUUCUUUUCUAUUUUUUCCAAAUCCAAGUGCUCAAAUGAAUUUGAAUUCCUAGUUUGAAUCUCAGACUUUUAAAUACCAAAUAAGAUUCUAAUGUGAAUGGUACUACCCCUUUAUGCCAUAAUUAUUAUUUAGUUAUUAUUAUAAUAAUUAUUCAUCCUCCAUUCUUUAAUUCUUUGGCUCCCAUAUUAUAUAGUGUACUAUUUUGGACUCAAGUCUAGUCUUAAUUCAUUUAUAACUUUAUAUUGGAUGCAUAGACAAAAAAUAUCCAGCAUGAUGCAUAGAAUAUUUUAUUAAUUAUUUGUUUUCUUAAAUAUGGUUAUGCUCAUGUUCUAUCUUGUGGAUGGCAAAACAUGUAGUACAAUUAAUUCUUUUCCUUCUCUAUUACAAAUUGGGUAUUACAACUAACUCGCGGUCCGAUAAAAAUUAAAAGAAAUUUAAUUCAGGUCCUGUUUUUGUGGUUUAAACCCUGCUCUUUCAGGUAACAGAAGCCACCGUCCAAAGACUCUAUUAAAUUAUGAAAAUCGAAUCCGAAGUUGAUUUCUAAUAUAAAUAAUUCCUAAACAUAGAAAAUUCAUAUUUUCUUCGUUUUAACUCUAAUUUAAUCCGUUCAAGUUGCAUUUGCUUCGUAAUAAAAUUAUCCACUUGUUAAAACAUUAUGUCAUCUAUUUUCAAGAAUAGUUAAGUGUUGGUUUACUAGGUUAACUUAUCUAAUCAAAGUGAAAUGUGAUACUUUAAUUUGAUCUAUGAUCAUAAUUUGACUAAAAUAUGAUUCUAAUCAAGUUAUAAUUUAGAAUAAAACUAAAUUAAUGUUUUCUUCAGAAUAUCUUUCUCACAUGAUUUAUUAAUCAACAUAGACAUAGUUUUCAUAUUUAAUCACAUAAAACUUAUGAAAACCAUAUCGUUUCAACCAUAACUCUGAAUUUAGAGAUUCUCAAACAUACGAUUCUGUAGCGAGACGUAGAAUAAUAUUACGUGGUUCAUUCUCUUGCUUGGUGUGAUGUUAAUUUUGUCCAUACAAUGUUUGUUUGUAUUGGUGCGAGUAGACGAGCCAGCCACUGAGGAACCUAGAGCACAACAGGUUGAGGAUCCUGAACAGGAGCUCAUGGAAGGCAAGUUGUGCCCUUGAUCACCCUUCUUUACCCAAUAAUGUUUUUGUUAAUCACUAUGAUAUGCUCAAGAUAAUCUGAUGGGACCUAAUAGGUUACCCUAGUUUGGUUUACUUCACACCUUGUGUGCCACUGAACUAUUGGGUAGUAUCUGUUAUUGCGCUAUGUGAUUUUGGGUGUUAAGAUACAUAUGAUUCAUGAUCAUGCUUUAUUAUUGUUUUAGAUUAUUUUUUGGUCAUGACAAGGUUAUUAUGUUAAUUGGAACAUGGAGCUUAACUUGAGAUAACUGUGCUACCACAAGGGUGGAAUGGGACGCCCUUGGUUGACUAAUUAGGAAAGCUAGUGGAGGACUACCUUACCCAAAAGGGGCAAGGGCGAUAGAGGAGUUGCUGGUGUAAGGAGGUUCUCGGGUUGAUCAUGCUGCGAUGGCUUUUUGGGCGAGGGAUUCAUAUAUCGCUCUUCUCACGAAAUCGUAGCGGCCUCGUAGUGGAUCCCUAGCCAUUCACCUCGGGAGUGUCUAAGGGCCUUGCAAACCCUGGCUAGAUGGGAUACACGACUUGUGGUUAAAGGGCUCAACUUCUGGAAAGUGUAAAAUUGGUAUACCAGCCACGCUCACGGUCAAGAGAGACUUAGGACUCUCGCAUGAUUAAUUUAUGGAAUUAAACUUAAUCUAUCAUAUGCAUUGCAUUGUGGGAUUUAUUAUAAUUGUGAUCUCUUAUUUUAUUGGGCUAGUAUACACUUAUACUUAGUAACCGCUAAUAAAAUUUGACGAACUUAUUAAAAUUAAUGCUUAGCUUUAACCAUUAUUUGUUGAUCAGCCUUACACUAUACAUGAGCCCCACCGUAAGUGAGCUCAUGCACAUUAUUCCCCACACUUGCUGAGCGAUAAACUUUUUUGAGCUCACUUUUGCGAUAAACCCUAGGUGAAGAGCAGGUGCCAUCGGAGGAGGACUAGUAUGAUGAGUUCGACGAGGUCUAGGUGUCAUCUCCCAAUUAGCUUGACAGCGCUGAGGAAAUAAUAUUAUUAGUUCGAUUUAUUUAUUAUCAGUUAUUUUGUAAGACAUUUUCGUUAUAUAAUAAAGUUCAUGACAUUCGUCUCUAUACACUGAGUCAUUGUAUGUGUUCAUCUUCUUUGGCGCACAUAUGAGACGCACUCAGGUUUACCCCUUAAAUCUAAGAGUGACAUAGUUCACCCUGUAGUCUUGUGGCAUGCAUGCAAGGGGUGGCACAUCGGUGCAGGGAUGGCUCUUGUGAAUGGUCCAUUUGUUCACCAUCACCACCCUGCAGUCUUGAUGUUUAGCCAAACAGGAGAGAUGACCUUAGAAAAAGGCAAUGCAAGUGUCUAUAGUCACCCAUGGAUAAAUUAGAAACUAGUCAGAUGUUCGUGUAUUGCUACAACUUCUAUAUAUCAUAUGUGUUGAUGUCGAUCUGGGUGCCAAUCACUGGGGAUGUACCGUCUAGCGGUGCCAUCUUUGGCACAAGAGCGACACUUUUGCUGCAUGCCUCCGAACGGUCCACGCUCUUGGAUAGACUGUCCGUGAUGGUGCAUGGUUGUCUUCCUCCUCACAGAAACCUAGAUCUCGCCCCCUAGGGGAGAUAUCUUAGGGUGCUCCGGGUCGGUAGGUCACUCAGGGCGUAUCCAGAUGACAUAGAGUCACCUAGGGCACUCGAUUUCACUCCGAGGAUCAGAUCUUAAGUUAAGUAAUCAAGUCAAGGAAGAGAUCUUGAGUGCAGUGGAUCUUGCCCCUGGGGAGGGGUAAGAUCCUUGGGUCGUCUUGGGAUCAGUAGGCCACCCCACACAGAUCUAGAUGACGUAGAGUCGAAUAGGGGUGGAGGCGGAUAUGUGGAAAGCUACAACUAGAUUAUGCUACAUCUACUCCUAGGGCAUGAAUGACAAAGGAAUGAUAAAUAAAGUAAUUGGUUCAAUUGGAAUGUGUUCUGGGGUUUUCAAUCGGAUGUACCCCUUCAUAUAUAUAGUGGUGGUCUGGACCUAUUCCUAAGCGAUAGAUAACAAAUCCAACAUGAAUAGAUGGAUCCGAGAUAAGGAUAAUCGCUCGAGUUAAUCUGAUCGCGGCGACACGGACCGUCCGGGCCCUAGGGCCGGACCGUCCGACACUUUUGCUGUUCAACACAUGCCCCUUGCCUUUUGGUAGAGCUUGGUGAACAAAAAGUACGAGCGCACUUUGAAAACAAUAGAUAUGAUGAGUUAUUUUGUGUAAAGCCCAAAAUUUGGAAGGAUUAAAAAAUAUAUAUAAUAAGGUUUUGGAAAUUGUGGAUCCUUGGGGGAUUAUUUUGGUUCCUUUUCUUCUUUUGCAUCUCCAAAUAAUGGGACCAAUCUAAGAUAAAUAACAAUUAUAUAAAAAAAGAAAUAUGCAUUUAUAUUUAAAUGGAUAACACAAGAUUGUGUGGCAAAAAUUUGAAAUAGGAAAGAAUAAAGGAAAUAACAAAAGAAAAGGGAAAAAGAAAAAAAAUAAAAGAAAGGGGGAGGACAAACCCACAUGGGCCAAAACCUCCUCGGCCCGACUCAACCCACCGGCCCAGCUGUAGCGGUGCGCCGAUAGGCAGGGCCCGCCCGUCAGUCAUGUGGCGCGCGCCCUUUUCCAACAGAGUCGCUGACAUGUGGGACCAUCACGUCUGGCUCGAUCACCAUGUCGCGUUCCUCGGCCUGCGUCCGCUUCUAGGUAGGGUCCACUCGUCAUUCCCUCGGAUGCUCGUGUUCGGGUGCCACUGCCCAAUGGGACUCCCAUGUCAGGGUGCUCUCCUUCCCUAUCCGCGCGCGACGCUCGCAACCAACCGCGCCAAUCGCGCGCACCAGUCCAACUCAAGCUAGAGUUUGUUAUAUCAACGUCUCUAGGGGGUAUAAACACCGUGCGCCAAGAACUUGUUUCCCCUUCCUCGUCAUACUUCAGUCACCGACUACAUAGAGGGAGUGGGAGAACGCAGAGAAGUCGGUCGUCGUCGCUAUCCUUGAUCUCGGCGCCGCGUGGUGCCCUAGGAGGUCUCGGGUGAUAAGCCGAAGACAGUGAAGGUGGGAGGAUUGAAUCCGAGGACGCUGGGUGACAAAGACUUCACGAUCGCUCGCCGAACUUCACUAGAGGCGCCGUGUCGCCAUUCACCAGGGCUAGAACACUUCGUAGCUCUCCGAAAACGGUACUUGCUUCCAUUGCAUUCAUAUUGUUAUUCUCUUCACGAAUCUAGGGUUAGACGGGCAAACGGGCAUCGGGGCAUCGAUCUGGCUCACGCCGGUGAGGGCUCCACCGUGAAUGGGGCCGGCGCCGCUUCGUCCUCGCAUUAGGAGGUAGAAGAUCGGUCGGGGCCGUUAAUCGGACCACUAAUGGCUAGGAUCGAGCCAUCAUACCAUUUGGCCGGGAGCCUUCGCGAUCGUCGAUUGGUAAAUGGAGGGAUGGGAUGGGAUUUCAUUUAAACUUACUCUCCACCAUAGAUCUUCAGAUCAACGACCCCAAACGCAUACCGAUUUGGUGUAGACAAUUUUGAAUCCGUGCCAUCAAAAUCUGAUCGGAUGGCCUUGGUUCACCCGUACCCCUUCGACGUGGUUGGUUUGCUAAAGAGCCCCUACCUAUUUUAGUUAUCAACCCGCCAUCCAGAUUAGUUCAAAAGAAAUUAUGACUAUGUCCUGGAAUUUACAAAAUAGACCCUGAACUUAUUUAAAAUAGUGGUCGGAGUCCAUUGAUCCCUGUUCAUUGAUAAAAUUAAUUCAAAAUUGAUUUUUGUAUGCAAAAGUAAUCCUAAUAACCUUAGAAAAUCCAUAACUAAUUCAUUUUACCUCUGAUUUAACCCAUUCCCGUUGCAUUAGGAUCGUAUUAAUAUUAACUACAAUCUAGUAACCUUAUCUUGUUAUGUAACAUGUUGUCAAAAGCCAAGAACUUAAUUGGUUUACCCUAUGUUUUACUUGCCCAAGCACAUAAAACUUCGGAAAAUCAUAUCUUAUUCAUUAUAACUCUGAUUUUAGUUGUUCUCGAACCUACGAUUUCAUAGCAACGUGUAGAACAUUAUUAUGCAGUUUGUUCUCAUGUUUGGUGUGAUGCUAAUUUUUGCCUAUACCAUGUUUGUAUGUAUUGUUGCGAGUAGAUGAGCAAGUGAACGAAGAACCCGAUACUCAGCAGGUAGAAAAUACUGAGCAUGAGCUCGUUGAAGGCAAGUUGUGCCCUUGAUCACUCUUCUUUACCCAAUAAUGUUCCUGUUAAUCAUUAUGAUCUACAUAGGUUAAUGUUGAUGGGACCAAAUAGGUCACCCUAGUUUGGUCAUCUUUAUACCUUGUUUACCACUGAACUUUUAGGUAGUAUAUGCUAUUGCUUUAUGUGGUUUUGGGUGUUAAGAUACACAUUAUUCAUGGUCAUGCUAUUUAUUAUUAAUGAGUUAUUUAUUGUUCAUGAUAAGAUCAUUAUGUUAAUUGGAACAUGGAGCGACCACCCAGGAAAACAGUGCUACCACGGGGGUGGUAUGGGACGCCCUUGGCUGACUAACUAGGAAAGCUAGUGGAGGAUUACCUUACCCAAAAGGGGUAAGGGUGGUAGGGGAGUUAUCGGUUUAGCGAGGUUCUCGGGUUGAUCAUGCUGUGAUGGAUUUUCAGACGAGGGAUUCCUAUAUCACUCUACUCAGAAAUCGUAGCAGGUUUUCGGAAGCUUGUGGAACUUUGUAAAGGCCUCAUAGUGCUACCCUGCCUCGCCUCCUCGGUAGAGGUGUAUGGGGUCCGUACAACCCCGCGGCAGAUGGGUAUCAUGGCUUGUGGGUAAAGAUGCGCAAUCUCUGCAGAGUGUAAAACUGGUAUAUCAGCCGCGCUCACGGUCAUGAGUGGCUCAGACCCUCACAUGAGUAACUUAUGGAAUUAAACUUAAUUGGUCAUUUGCAUCGCAUUGUGGUUUUAUUAUUAAUUAUGAUCUCACAUUUAUAUGGGUUGGUAUUUACUUAUACUUAGUAACUACUAAUAAAAUUUGACCAACUUAUUAAAAGCAAUGCUUUGCCUUAACCAUUAUUUGUUGAUCAGCCUGACACUAUACAUGAGCCCCACCGUAAGUGAGCUCAUGCACAUUAUUGCCCACACUUGUUGAGCGAUGAACUUUUGUGAGCUCACUCUUGUGAUAAAACUCUCCCCCACAGGUGAAGAGCAUGUGGCCCCGGAGGAAGAUUACUAUGAGGAGUUCGACGAGGUCUAGGAGUCGUCUCCCAGUCGACUUAAUGGCGUCAAGGAAAUAAUAUUAGUUCGCUUUAUUUAUUAUUAGUUAUUUUGUAAGAUAUUCUUGUUAUGUAAUAAUGUUGGUG
RNAcentral lists this long non-coding RNA (9282 nucleotides) under Zea mays. RNAcentral's name for it is "long non-coding RNA (ZMAY_LNC004247)". Lineage: Eukaryota; Viridiplantae; Streptophyta; Magnoliopsida; Poales; Poaceae. The record is from RNAcentral.